CUGUUGCCCAGGCUGGAGCAAUAUAGUCAAGCAAUCAUAGCUCAUGUAGCCUCGACCUCGCAGGCUCAAGCAAUCCUCCCACCUUAGCCUCCCAAGUAGCUGGCACUACAGGUAUG
Long non-coding RNA from Sapajus apella (tufted capuchin), 116 nucleotides. RefSeq lists it as uncharacterized. The record is from RefSeq and is a predicted model, not a curated record. The transcript is spliced from 3 exons. NCBI's taxonomy places the organism in Eukaryota, Metazoa, Chordata, Mammalia, Primates, Cebidae.